Transfer RNA from Ovis aries (sheep), 73 nucleotides. It matches the Rfam family "tRNA". Rfam says of the family: Transfer RNA (tRNA) molecules are approximately 80 nucleotides in length. Their secondary structure includes four short double-helical elements and three loops (D, anti-codon, and T loops). Lineage: Eukaryota; Metazoa; Chordata; Mammalia; Artiodactyla; Bovidae. The record is from Rfam.
UCUUUGAUGGUCCACUGGCGAAGACUCUGCACUCCCAAUGCAGGGGACCUGGGUUCAAUCCCUUGUUAGGGAA